UAGGUUUAUUUUAAAAGAAAAAUAAGUCCAUUACAAUGGAUGCUAAUGGGACUUCUGCGACUAUAUGGUGGCAGCUACUUUGUGGUGGGCGUGGUGGUGGUGAGGGCUUGGGGCACCUUCUUUGUGGUGGGCGUGGUGGGCAUGGUGGGGGUGGUGCGGGUGGCUUGGAGCAGCUACAUGAUGGUGGCCGUGGUGGUGGUGGUGGUGAGGGCUUGAUGCAGCUACUUGGUGGUGACUGCCAUGAUGAGUUGGUGCAACAACAGGGUUGCCGUGAGAUUCAACAGAUUCGAUGACAUUGAACUUGGACUGCGUAGGCAGGUGGUGGUGGGGGCUUGGAGCAGCCACAUGAUGGUGGCCGUGGUGAUGGUGGUGGUGAUGGUGGUGGCCAUGGCGGUGGUGGUGAGGGCUUGAUGCACCGUGACUUUCAUGAUGAGUUGGUGCAACAACAGGGUUGCCAUGAGAUUCGGCAGAUUCGAUGACAUUGAACUUGGACUGCGCAGGCGCAUGGUGGUGAUGGUGGUGGUGGCGGUGGUGAUGAUGUGGGCCUGGAGCGGCUGCUUUGUGGUGGCUGUCGUGGUGAGUUGGUGCAGGAGCUAGGCUUUCAUGAGAUUCAGUAGCUUCAAAGACAUUGAAACUACAAUAGAAAA
Cucurbita maxima (winter squash) is the source of this 647-nucleotide long non-coding RNA. RefSeq lists it as uncharacterized. The record is from RefSeq and is a predicted model, not a curated record. NCBI's taxonomy places the organism in Eukaryota, Viridiplantae, Streptophyta, Magnoliopsida, Cucurbitales, Cucurbitaceae. The transcript has 2 exons.